UGCAUCCUUUCCUCUAUACCAUUGACACCAUUCGGAAUUUUGCGAAAGUCACCAAUACCAAAAGCUUUUUGUGUGGAAUUAAAUACACAAUGAUCAGUCCCUACUAGCUGUAAAAUUCCUGAUGAAAGGGCAGCUCGAAGAACUUUCUGAUGCCCAGAUUUUCUUAUGGGGGGGCUCAUUACAUACUUUGAGGCUGUAGUGAAGUCGGGAUGCCAAAGCCACGAAUCCUCAAGUAUCAAACCAGAAAUUACAGGCUCCCCAAUAACCCUUUGACCUGAUAUUUUGGCCUUGGCAAUCUCUUCCAUGGCAUCACUG
RNAcentral lists this unclassified non-coding RNA (315 nucleotides) under Hevea brasiliensis (rubber tree). The record is from RNAcentral. Lineage: Eukaryota; Viridiplantae; Streptophyta; Magnoliopsida; Malpighiales; Euphorbiaceae.